RNAcentral lists this transfer RNA (75 nucleotides) under Chloroflexota bacterium. RNAcentral's name for it is "Chloroflexi bacterium (groundwater metagenome) tRNA-Gly". It matches the Rfam family "tRNA". Rfam says of the family: Transfer RNA (tRNA) molecules are approximately 80 nucleotides in length. Lineage: Bacteria; Bacillati; Chloroflexota. The record is from RNAcentral.
GCGGGAGUAGCUCAGCGGUAGAGCUCCGCCCUUCCAAGGCGGUUGUCGCGGGUUCAAAUCCCGUCUCCCGCUCCA